RNAcentral lists this ribosomal RNA (447 nucleotides) under uncultured bacterium. RNAcentral's name for it is "partial 16S ribosomal RNA". It matches the Rfam family "Bacterial small subunit ribosomal RNA", at positions 330 to 793 of the family's 1533-position model. The record is from RNAcentral.
GCCAGACUCCUACGGAAGGCAGCAGUGGGGGAUAUUGCACAAUGGGGGGAACCCUGAUGCAGCGACGCCGCGUGGGUGAAGGAGCGUUUCGGCGCGUAAAGCCCUAUCGGCAGGGAAGAAGGAGGACGGUACCUGACUAAGAAGCCCCGGCUAACUACGUGCCAGCAGCCGCGGUAAUACGUAGGGGGCAAGCGUUAUCCGGAUUUACUGGGUGUAAAGGGGGCGCAGACGGCAGCGCAAGCCAGGAGUGAAAGCCCGGGGCCCAACCCCGGGACUGCUCUUGGAACUGCGCGGCUGGAGUGCAGGAGGGGCAGGCGGAAUUCCUGGUGUAGCGGUGAAAUGCGUAGAUAUCGGGAGGAACACCGGUGGCGAAGGCGGCCUGCUGGACUGCGACUGACGUUGAGGCCCGAAAGCGUGGGGAGCAAACAGGAUUAGAUACCCCAGUAC